Molecule: long non-coding RNA, 220 nt
Filed under: Elaeis guineensis (African oil palm)
Lineage: Eukaryota; Viridiplantae; Streptophyta; Magnoliopsida; Arecales; Arecaceae
Description: long non-coding RNA (EGUI_LNC050219)
Source: RNAcentral
CAGACUCCACGUGGCACACCCUGGUGAUAGCCACGGGUCCACUCCACUACUCUUCGCAGCAAACUCCGCCUGACCCUGGGCAGCCCACUGCCAGACGGUUACAGAUGUCGCUGUCAGGCUACUGCCCCCUCCGCCUAUAAAAGGGGGCUCCAGAUAUGUUAUUCAAUAAGCUCUCAUCUUUCAUCUAAAAACUCUGCUAAAUUCUCCGUUCAAGCACUCC